Perca flavescens (yellow perch) is the source of this 454-nucleotide long non-coding RNA. RefSeq lists it as uncharacterized. The transcript has 3 exons. The record is from RefSeq and is a predicted model, not a curated record. NCBI's taxonomy places the organism in Eukaryota, Metazoa, Chordata, Actinopteri, Perciformes, Percidae.
AUCAGCCUCAUAGAUAUGGGUCAGUAGGGGCCUGCUGCGCCUACUGGUAGGCUCAGAGGGCUGUUAUCAUCCAUUCGCAUGGUUAAUCACGGAUAAAUACACGAGAAGACUCCAGAUCCAAUCCCAGAGCAAUCCAGGUCACCGCUAACCGGAAGUCUGUUGGAUAACGGCAUAUGUAUACACAGGUUGAAGAUGGCCCAGAGAGAGAGAACACAAAUUAAUGAAGAACAAAGGGAAACUUUGAAAACAUGUUUUGAGGAUGGAAUGACACGGGUUGGUUCCCCCCUCAUAUCAAGAGCUGCAUCAGCUACUGGUUUGGAAACCAAUGUCAUAGAAGUAAGGUUUACUUUAAUUCCACACUUACAAUCAACAUAUCAAAUAAAUACAUAGUUCUUCUGUACUGCUGGUAAAAAUCUAGAGUUUUUGUUAACAUCCCUUCUCUUCUCUGCUUAUC